GAUGAACGCUGGCGGCGUGCCUAAUACAUGCAAGUCGAGCGAACAGACGAGGAGCUUGCUCCUCUGACGUUAGCGGCGGACGGGUGAGUAACACGUGGAUAACCUACCUAUAAGACUGGGAUAACUUCGGGAAACCGGAGCUAAUACCGGAUAAUAUAUUGAACCGCAUGGUUCAAUAGUGAAAGACGGUUUUGCUGUCACUUAUAGAUGGAUCCGCGCCGCAUUAGCUAGUUGGUAAGGUAACGGCUUACCAAGGCAACGAGGCGUAGCCGACCUGAGAGGGUGAUCGGCCACACUGGAACUGAAACACGGUCCAGACUCCUACGGGAGGCAGCAGUAGGGAACCUGCCGCAAUGGGCGAAAGCAUGACGGAGCAACGCCGAGUGAGUGAUGAAGGUCUUCGGAUCGUAAAACUCUGUUAUUAGGGAAGAACAAAUGUGUAAGUAAAUAUGCACGUCUUGACGGUACCUAAUCAGAAAGCCACGGCUAACUACGUG
Molecule: ribosomal RNA, 497 nt
Filed under: uncultured bacterium
Lineage: Bacteria
Description: partial 16S ribosomal RNA
Rfam family: Bacterial small subunit ribosomal RNA
Source: RNAcentral